RNAcentral lists this ribosomal RNA (832 nucleotides) under uncultured beta proteobacterium. RNAcentral's name for it is "bacterial SSU rRNA". It matches the Rfam family "Bacterial small subunit ribosomal RNA", at positions 73 to 900 of the family's 1533-position model. Lineage: Bacteria; Pseudomonadati; Pseudomonadota; Betaproteobacteria. The record is from RNAcentral.
GCGGGGGCAACCCUGGGCGACGAGUGGCGAACGGGUGAGUAAUACAUCGGAACAUAUCCAGUAGCGGGGGAUAACCUAUCGAAAGAUUGGCUAAUACCGCAUACGAUCUACGGAUGAAAGCAGGGGACCGCAAGGCCUUGCACUAUUGGAGUGGCCGAUGUCAGAUUAGCUAGUUGGUGGGGUAAAAGCCUACCAAGGCGACGAUCUGUAGCUGGUCUGAGAGGACGAUCAGCCACACUGGAACUGAGACACGGUCCAGACUCCUACGGGAGGCAGCAGUGGGGAAUUUUGGACAAUGGGCGCAAGCCUGAUCCAGCCAUGCCGCGUGAGUGAAGAAGGCCUUCGGGUUGUAAAGCUCUUUCGGUGAAGACGAAACGGUUAGCGUUAAUAACGCUGACUAAUGACGGUACUCACAGAAGAAGCACCGGCUAACUACGUGCCAGCAGCCGCGGUAAUACGUAGGGUGCAGGCGUUAAUCGGAAUUACUGGGCGUAAAGCGUGCGCAGGCGGUUUGCUAAGACAGGUGUGAAAUCCCCGGGCUUAACCUGGGAAUUGCGCUUGUAACUGGCAAGCUAGAGUGUGGCAGAGGGGGGUGGAAUUCCACGUGUAGCAGUGAAAUGCGUAGAUAUGUGGAGGAACACCGAUGGCGAAGGCAGCCCCCUGGGUUAACACUGACGCUCAGGCACGAAAGCGUGGGGAGCAAACAGGAUUAGAUACCCUGGUAGUCCACGCCCUAAACUAUGUCAACUAGUUGUCGGGGAAGAAAUUCCUUGGUAACGAAGCUAACGCGUGAAGUUGACCGCCUGGGGGAGUACGGCCGCAAGGUUAAAAC